UACGGGGGGGGCAAGCGUUGUUCGGAAUUACUGGGCGUAAAGGGCGCGUAGGCGGUUGGAUAAGUCAGCUGUGAAAACCACGGGCUUAACUCGUGGCCUGCAGUUGAGACUGUCUGGCUUGAGUGUGGGAGAGGAGAGUGGAAUUCCUGGUGUAACGGUGAAAUGCGUAGAUAUCAGGAGGAACACCGGUGGCGAAGGCGGCUCUCUGGACCACAACUGACGCUGAGGCGCGAAAGCUAGGGGAGCAAACAGG
This 253-nucleotide ribosomal RNA is filed under the name uncultured bacterium. RNAcentral's name for it is "partial 16S ribosomal RNA". It matches the Rfam family "Bacterial small subunit ribosomal RNA", at positions 524 to 776 of the family's 1533-position model. The record is from RNAcentral.